Molecule: ribosomal RNA, 264 nt
Filed under: uncultured bacterium
Lineage: Bacteria
Description: partial 16S ribosomal RNA
Rfam family: Bacterial small subunit ribosomal RNA
Source: RNAcentral
GUCCACGCCGUAAACGAUGUCAACUAGCCGUUGGUUCUAUAUACAGAAUUAGUGGCGCAGCUAACGCAUUAAGUUGACCGCCUGGGGAGUACGGCCGCAAGGUUAAAACUCAAAUGAAUUGACGGGGGCCCGCACAAGCGGUGGAGCAUGUGGUUUAAUUCGAUGCAACGCGAAGAACCUUACCUACCCUUGACAUCCAGAGAAUCUGUUAGAGAUAGUGGAGUGCCUUCGGGAACUCUGAGACAGGUGCUGCAUGGCUGUCGU